GACGAACGCUGGCGGCGUGCUUAACACAUGCAAGUCGAACGAAGAGCGAUGGAAGCUUGCUUCUAUCAAUCUUAGUGGCGAACGGGUGAGUAACGCGCAAUCAACCUGCCCUUCAGAGGGGGACAACAGUUGGAAACGACUGCUAAUACCGCAUACGAUCUAAUCUCGGCAUCGAGGAUAGAUGAAAGGUGGCCUCUACAUGUAAGCUAUCACUGAAGGAGGGGAUUGCGUCUGAUUAGCUAGUUGGAGGGGUAACGGCCCACCAAGGCGAUGAUCAGUAGCCGGUCUGAGAGGAUGAACGGCCACAUUGGGACUGAGACACGGCCCAGACUCCUACGGGAGGCAGCAGUGGGGAAUCUUCCGCAAUGGACGAAAGUCUGACGGAGCAACGCCGUGUGAGCGAUGACGGCCUUCGGGUUGUAAAGCUCUGUUAAUCGGGACGAAAGGCCUUCUUGCGAAUAGUGAGAAGGAUUGACGGUACCGGAAUAGAAAGCCGCGGCUAACUACGUG
Molecule: ribosomal RNA, 510 nt
Filed under: uncultured bacterium
Lineage: Bacteria
Description: partial 16S ribosomal RNA
Rfam family: Bacterial small subunit ribosomal RNA
Source: RNAcentral